ACAGCAGUAGCCGCGGUAAGACGAAGGAUGCGAGCGUUAUCCGGAUUCACUGGGUUUAAAGGGUGCGUAGGCGGGGCUGUAAGUCACAGGUUAAAAACCGGUGCUUAACAUCGGGAAUGCCUGUGAUACUGCGGUUCUUGAGACAGUUAGAAGUUGCUGGAAUAUGGCAAGUAGAGGUGAAAUUCAUAGAUAUGCCAUAGAACACCGAAAGCGAAGGCAGGCAACUAUGACUGGUCUGACGCUGAGGCACGAAAGCGUGGGGAGCAAACAGGAUUAGAUACCCCCGUAGUCCCUGUCUCUUAUAC
This 305-nucleotide ribosomal RNA is filed under the name uncultured bacterium. Its description in RNAcentral is "partial 16S ribosomal RNA". It matches the Rfam family "Bacterial small subunit ribosomal RNA", at positions 508 to 807 of the family's 1533-position model. The record is from RNAcentral.